UGAUAAAAUGAUAGCAGAUCAGAUCAGGCAAACUCUUCAUAAUAAUGUUCUUGAAGCCUUAAUGUUCGCAUUUGCUCUGCAGUUACUCCAUGUGAAUCCUCCAUUAUCGGAUGUUUUUAUGUUAAUAUACUAAUGCAUUACAUUAUAAUUCUCACUAGUAAAAGCAGGUAAAAUUGCUCUGUUGUCUAACUGUAGCUAAUUGUUGCAGGUAUUGAUUCCGGACGACCUGGAGGAGGAGGAGGAGGAGGAGGAGGGGGAGGACGAAGUGGAGGAAUAGGAGGAGGAGGAGGGAGAGGAGUCAAUCCAGGCUUUAACCCAUAAAUAAAGAAUUUGUUUAUACUUUAAACAGUGUUUUUUCUUCUAUAAGCAUAUACAUUAUAAGUUACAUACACAAUACAGCCUGUUAUACUGUAAGUAGAUUUAUUUUAAAUAAAGAAGUUAAAUAACA
Molecule: long non-coding RNA, 448 nt
Organism: Gadus macrocephalus (Pacific cod)
Lineage: Eukaryota; Metazoa; Chordata; Actinopteri; Gadiformes; Gadidae
Exons: 2
Source: RefSeq, a predicted model, not a curated record